RNAcentral lists this ribosomal RNA (354 nucleotides) under uncultured bacterium. RNAcentral describes it as "partial 16S ribosomal RNA". It matches the Rfam family "Bacterial small subunit ribosomal RNA", at positions 338 to 684 of the family's 1533-position model. The record is from RNAcentral.
CCUACGGGGUGCUGCAGUGGGGAAUAUUGCGCAAUGGGCGAAAGCCUGACGCAGCGACGCCGCGUGAGGGAUGAAGGUCUUCGGAUCGUAAACCUCUGUCAGCAGGGAAGAACGGUCACUGUGCUAAUCAGCAGUGAAUUGACGGUACCUGCAAAGGAAGCACCGGCUAACUCCGUGCCAGCAGCCGCGGUAAUACGUAGGGUGCGAGCGUUAAUCGGAAGUACUGGGCGUAAAGCGCUCGUAUGCGGUAUGUCAAGUCAAGGGGGAAAUCCCCGCGCUCAACGUGGGAACGGCCUUUGAAACUGGAAAACUGGAGUGUCUGGGAGGAUAGUGGAAUUCCAGGGGUAGGAGUGA